RNAcentral lists this ribosomal RNA (733 nucleotides) under Acetomicrobium sp. enrichment culture. RNAcentral describes it as "bacterial SSU rRNA". It matches the Rfam family "Bacterial small subunit ribosomal RNA", at positions 28 to 774 of the family's 1533-position model. The record is from RNAcentral. Lineage: Bacteria; Thermotogati; Synergistota; Synergistia; Synergistales; Acetomicrobiaceae.
GACGAACGCUGGCGGCGCGCUUAACACAUGCAAGUCGUGCGAUACCUUGAGCGAGUCUUACGACAAGUUCAAGAUAGAGCGGCGGACGGGUGAGUAACACGUGAGUAGCUGUCCUAAGGAGGGGGAUAACGCCUGGAAACGGGUGCUAAAACCCCAUAUGCCUCGCAAGAGGUGAAAGUGUAUUACUGCAGCCUUAGGGUGUGCUCGCGGCCUAUCAGCUAGUUGGUGAGGUAACGGCUCACCAAGGCUAAGACGGGUAGCCGGCCUGAGAGGGUGUACGGCCACACUGGAAUUGAGAUACGGUCCAGACUCCUACGGGAGGCAGCAGUGGGGAAUCUUGGGCAAUGGGCGAAAGCCUGACCCAGCGACGCCGCGUUGGGGAUGAAACCCUUUGGGGUGUAAACCCAUGUUGUAGGGGACGAAGAAAGUGACGGUACCCUACGAGGAAGCCCCGGCUAACUACGUGCCAGCAGCCGCGGUAAGACGUAGGGGGCGAGCGUUGUCCGGAAUUACUGGGCGUAAAGGGCACGCAGGCGGUGCGCCAAGUCGAGGGUGUAAAGUUACGGCUCAACCGUGACAUUGCAAUCGAUACUGGCGCGCUGGAGUGCGGGAGAGGGAAGUGGAAUUCCCGGUGUAGCGGUGAAAUGCGUAGAUAUCGGGAGGAACGCCAGUGGCGAAGGCGGCUCUCUGGCCUGGCCCUGACGCUGAGGCGCGAAAGCGUGGGGAGCAAACA